AAAGAGCUGGUUAAUUUAUAACAUGAGUUUGUCAAGCUCAAGUUGCCGUAAAGGUGCUCUUUU
This 63-nucleotide transfer RNA is filed under the name Gibbosula laosensis. RNAcentral describes it as "tRNA-Asp". Lineage: Eukaryota; Metazoa; Mollusca; Bivalvia; Unionida; Margaritiferidae. The record is from RNAcentral.